AAUAUUCCCAUUACAUCCGAGUGAUCAAGAUUUUUCACAGUGGAGCACAGUGCGUUACCCAGAGUGUUCAGCAGUACUGCAUUAUUAGCUUGGGAAGAUAUGACCUUGAAGGCUUUAUAUUUAAUUUAUUUCAACGUUCCAGCCAUAGAGAUGUUUGCUCUGAUUAGACCCAGUAAAUUACCCUCCACAAAUUAUCAGGGGAUUUUCUUCUAUUUUUUUCUGCCCAUUCUCAAACUACUCAGAACGAGCCCAGGAGCUGGUAGCUAUUGAGGAAGAUGAAGAAAAACUGCAUGAUACAGCAGAAGAGAUAAAGAGGAUUUCCCUUCCUUGCUCCGUGCUGAAAUGCAACUUUGCUCAUUUUCACCCUCUACUCUCCUAUGAUCGUCUCCGAUGAACUUUAAAAGCUAACCCAAUGUCAGCAUAGCUCCGUGUAAAUUCAUAAUACAGGCUGGCAUCUACAGCUGAAGGGACACCUCAAUUCUUGGGGCCAGAAGGAGGACAGCCACAUGGUAUCUGUUCUUGGCUCAACUUUCCUGCAUCCCCUGGGUGGGUUGUUCAUCCCUCUAUGCCUUGUCUGGAGGAGCACAUCCUUACCCGGGGAGCAUGGCAAAGGGACAUGAUUUAAACCUCAGUUGCCUGCACCUAUGAUAAUAGCUGCACAGGGCAGACUGACUUUCUGAAAUAAGAAAUGUUCGGUUUUCAUGGCUUGUUGCUAAACACCCACCAGCGUCAAGGACAGAGAAUCUGUCCUAUUCUGCUCAAAGAGCCACUGCCUGGCUCUGUGCUUGCUGUUUACAGUCAGAGUCUGUGGGCCAUCUCUCUUGCCCUUCCUGAAAUAUCUGAACAAGCAUCCUUGAUUGCUCUGUGUUGCAAUGGGACAUUACCAGCUUGUUUCAGGCUGGGUUAUGUUAUUUGUCAUAACAGGGACCAAGCGGGACAGCGGGAACAAACUGAAGGAAACCCUUCAGAGGUGUGCUGCCUUAAAAUGUUCCUUGGAGGCCCCUGUUUCUCCCCAGCAAUAGAGACAGCAAACAGACAUGUGUUGUGCUGGCCCAGAGGCCCGGCCUUCCACCUUGGGGCUGGGGGACAUCAAACACCAGGAACCGACCUGGAAGGAACUGUGAGAAACUGUGCAAAAUGGCCAUUACACUCCAAUGCAGGACUGCUUCUCCAUAAGCCAGCCCUGAUAGUAUCUCUGUUAGGUUGGGGAUGGGGGUAAUGGUCCUUGUAGAAGGGCUGGGAAAAGAGAGAAGAGAAAAAAUGAUGACUGGAGAAUAAUAAUGUGAGUCAAUGGUGGUGAGAGGGGAACACAGAGAGAUGAAGAUAUGUCUGCUCGGGAGCAUCCAGCUGCUUUCUCUGCCUGGCUAUGGUGUCGCCUUGUGAUAGCAACAGGGUCAUGGCUUGCACAAGGACCACUGUGUCCUCCGAUACCCCUGCCACUUUGGCCUGAUUUCAGACAAUUCUUGUUCCUGCUGCCUCAGAAAGUUUUACUGAGAGUGAGACUUAUUAGGGAAGAAGUCAGCCUUGAGGGUAACACUGGAAAAUUAUUUGGGGAGGGAAAGAAAGUACAUGUUUGGUCAGGUCUACAUGCCAGGUCGUGAACCAGCAGAUUUGUUUUGGCAAGAAGUGUGGUUUUGUUGGACUGAAAAAGUUAUGAAUUCAACUUCAAGGCUGAUUGCAUCUUUAUGGCCUAAAAUUUCUUUACAGCUAUAAUUUAUUUCCCCUUUCAUACAGGAAUAGUUCUGGCAAAGGCUGGUCUUGCUGUAACUAACACCCAGAGGGUGAGUUGAGAAAAAUUAUUCACUGUCUCACAAAACAGAAACUUGAGAAUAUCACAAAAACCUGUCAGGCAACACGUUCAGCACUAUCAAAGGGAGGCACUUCGUGUACUGAACCUAUGGUCUGCCUUGGGUGGGUCCUGUGGAUACUGAUGUGAGUUCAGUAUUUGGGAAAGUUCAUGGACUUCGAAGUACAGAGACUCCACCUCUUCUUUGGGCAGCCUUUGAGCCACCAGCUACUGGAAGAGGGAUUGCAUCCCAGUGUGGGAGCAUGGUAAAGCUGCCUCAUUCUUACACUAUUUGGAGGCAUAUGCUAGUAGGCGUGGUCAGAGACAGGAUAUUGGACUAGACUGACUUUUAGUGUAACCGUAUACACCCAUGGGACUUUCCACCUCUGUGACUGUGUUUACCACAGCUGCUUUGCCAGUACUUCAGGGCAGGGUUUUCAUGCACUCUUGGCACACACAAGGCACCUGACACGUACAUCAAGCCUUUAAAGGCCACGAUCUUCACCCAGGGAUGGCCUGCAUGCCAUGUGGUACAUCUGAAACACACUGCGCAGAUUUGACAUUCUUUUUUAUGUGGUUGAAGGUAAAGCUGCACUGUUUAGAGAACACUCACACUUACAAAGCUAUCUUAGCACAGCAUAAUAGAAUGGGUUUUUUAAUUACUUUAUAGCUCCUCUGGAAUACAAACAUGGCAGCAAGGCUCCAGUGCUGUGAGGACUCCUCCAUUCAAACCAGUCUCUGUUAUUAU
Non-coding RNA from Phalacrocorax carbo (great cormorant), 2534 nucleotides. The record is from RefSeq and is a predicted model, not a curated record. Lineage: Eukaryota; Metazoa; Chordata; Aves; Suliformes; Phalacrocoracidae.